This 610-nucleotide long non-coding RNA is filed under the name Coturnix japonica (Japanese quail). RNAcentral describes it as "lncRNA (ENSCJPG00005001842.1)". Lineage: Eukaryota; Metazoa; Chordata; Aves; Galliformes; Phasianidae. The record is from RNAcentral.
AUGGGUCAGCAUUGGGGAGGGGGUCAGAAUGUGACCCCCCCCCCCCACUUGUGUCCCCAUGGCCCUACUCCGGGUUUACUCCACCUUUACACCGCAGUGGGGCUGCUCCGGCCUUACUCAGGCCUUACUCCCUCUUUACUACACUGUUACUCUGAGGUUACACUGUCGGGGUCAGCAUUGCCCCCCACAAUAUACGAUAACGAGGAAGGCUAAUUCCAAUUUUACUCCUCCCUUACUCCAGGUUUACUCAGCCUUUACUCCGGCUUUACUCCAUUCUUAUUCCGGGUUUACUCAGCCUUUACUCUGGAUUUACUCAGCAGUUUGGAUUCUCUGCUAUUCUGCCCUUACUCCAGGUUUAAUACACCUUUACUCAGGGCUUACUCAGCCUUUGGGGUUCAGCCUUUACUCUGAGGUUACUCCGCCCUUCAUGGAGGAUUACUCCAUACCUUAUUUCUACUCAGCCCUUACUCAGCCUUUACUCUGCCUUUCUUCGGGGGUUACUCUGUCAAUACUCAGCCCUUUCUCUGAGGUUACUCCCCCCCACAUCCCGCCUUACUCCGUGUUGAUUGCUUCAAAUCUACUCCAGCUUUACUCAGAGCUUCCCAUCUGA